AUUGAACGCUGGCGGCAGGCCUAACACAUGCAAGUCGAACGGUAACAGGAAGAAGCUUGCUUCUUUGCUGAUGAGUGGCGGACGGGUGAGUAAUGUCUGGGAAACUGCCUGAUGGAGGGGGAUAACUACUGGAAACGGUAGCUAAUACCGCAUAACGUCGCAAGACCAAAGAGGGGGACCUUCGGGCCUCUUGCCAUCGGAUGUGCCCAGAUGGGAUUAGCUAGUAGGUGGGGUAACGGCUCACCUAGGCGACGAUCCCUAGCUGGUCUGAGAGGAUGACCAGCCACACUGGAACUGAGACACGGUCCAGACUCCUACGGGAGGCAGCAGUGGGGAAUAUUGCACAAUGGGCGCAAGCCUGAUGCAGCCAUGCCGCGUGUAUGAAGAAGGCCUUCGGGUUGUAAAGUACUUUCAGCGGGGAGGAAGGGAGUAAAGUUAAUACCUUUGCUCAUUGACGUUACCCGCAGAAGAAGCACCGGCUAACUCCGUG
Molecule: ribosomal RNA, 490 nt
Filed under: uncultured bacterium
Lineage: Bacteria
Description: partial 16S ribosomal RNA
Rfam family: Bacterial small subunit ribosomal RNA
Source: RNAcentral